AUUGAACGCUGGCGGCAGGCCUAACACAUGCAAGUCGAACGGUAACAGGGAUCAGCUUGCUGAUUCGCUGACGAGUGGCGGACGGGUGAGUAAUGUCUGGGAAACUGCCUGAUGGAGGGGGAUAACUACUGGAAACGGUAGCUAAUACCGCAUAACGUCGCAAGACCAAAGAGGGGGACCUUCGGGCCUUUUGCCAUCGGAUGUGCCCAGAUGGGAUUAGCUAGUAGGUGGGGUAACGGCUCACCUAGGCGACGAUCCCUAGCUGGUCUGAGAGGAUGACCAGCCACACUGGAACUGAGACACGGUCCAGACUCCUACGGGAGGCAGCAGUGGGGAAUAUUGCACAAAGGGCGCAAGCCUGAUGCAGCCAUGCCGCGUGUAUGAAGAAGGCCUUCGGGUUGUAAAGUACUUUCAGCGGGGAGGAAGGGAGUAAAGUUAAUACCUUUGCUCAUUGACGUUACCCGCAGAAGAAGCACCGGCUAACUCCGUG
Molecule: ribosomal RNA, 490 nt
Filed under: uncultured bacterium
Lineage: Bacteria
Description: partial 16S ribosomal RNA
Rfam family: Bacterial small subunit ribosomal RNA
Source: RNAcentral